UACAAUUCAGCAAAGUAGCAACUAAUUAAAGAGGUUACAUGAACUUAUUGAACUUGUUGGCAAGAUCAAAUCAACUUUAAGGAUCUGGUAAAUUUGUAUUCCCACUUAAAUUAAAUUUUAUAACUUAUCAUUUCUAUGUUGAGUGCUUUUUUAUUAACACAUAAUUAUGAUUCUCCAGCCAUGAAUAUAGGAUAGCUAUGUGAUCCUCCUGGAAUACAUUCACAACAAGAUCCAAACAAAUAUGCAUAGAUAAAAUGAAUAUGUUCCAUUUGAGUAGGGAUGUCAAAUAACUGUUUUCACAAUUUUAAUUUUCCAUG
Molecule: long non-coding RNA, 317 nt
Filed under: Medicago truncatula (barrel medic)
Lineage: Eukaryota; Viridiplantae; Streptophyta; Magnoliopsida; Fabales; Fabaceae
Description: long non-coding RNA (MTRU_LNC004247)
Source: RNAcentral